RNAcentral lists this long non-coding RNA (298 nucleotides) under Capsicum annuum. Its description in RNAcentral is "long non-coding RNA (CANN_LNC010514)". The record is from RNAcentral. Lineage: Eukaryota; Viridiplantae; Streptophyta; Magnoliopsida; Solanales; Solanaceae.
GGCAACCUACUUUUGGGUUCGAUCUAAUCAUUUUGUUUUGUUGUUUUUCAUUAUUUUUCCUCUUUUAAAGAAAAACAAAAGCCAUAAAGAAUGAUAAAAUAAAGGUAGACAACGAGAGAAAAGAAAAGAGCAGAGAUUGAUACGAAAAAAAAAGAGAAAAGAGAGGGAAAGAAAAAUAAUAAUAAGUGUAGAUAAAAAAUAGUGUAGACAAAAAUCAGGAUGAUGUUAAAAUGACAUCGCUACCCUCAAAAGUUGGUAGAAAUGAGCAUGAAUUUAGGGCAAUUUUACCAAUGUGAUU